This 1212-nucleotide ribosomal RNA is filed under the name Triticum aestivum (bread wheat). RNAcentral's name for it is "partial small subunit ribosomal RNA". The record is from RNAcentral. Lineage: Eukaryota; Viridiplantae; Streptophyta; Magnoliopsida; Poales; Poaceae.
AUGGAGCGAAGGCUGCCACUUGAGGAGAAAGACGAGGACCUGCUUGCGUUGCCAUUGCUGAAAGGAAAUAUAGGCAGGCAUGAAAGGGGCGAGCACGGGUGGAGCAGCCGGCGGCCGGCGCAGGCUAAAACCCUAGACCGAACGGGGAAUUGUUUGCGAGCAACACGGGAGAGGGCGAUGGUCAGCGUUAGAAUGGGUAAUCAUCGAACGAGUGCAACAAUUGCAGAGAAGCAUGUCCAUAUUAAACCAACAACAAGAUCAAUAAAUGACAAUGGGAGGCCCAAUGUUCAACUUAAAGAUCUUCCAGAGGAUGUGAUGUGCAUAAUUUUAUCAAACUUACCUGCAAAAGAGGCUGUGCGGUCUAGUGUUUUGUCCAGCGAGUGGAGAUCUAUAUGGACAACUUGCCCCAAACUGAGUUUCAACGGCAAGGAUCAUGUGCCUAGGCAUGGAGGGAAACAACAUGCCCAGAUGUUCAUAGACCAUAUUAAUGCAGUCUUGAAAAGGCACCACAGCAAGGUUGUCGACAAUCUUGAGAUCAAAUUUGUAUUUGAGAGCAAGCUAGUUUAUCAUCUCAACAGUUGGAUAAGGCUGAGCAUAGUCAGGUGUGAUCUAGACGAUGAACUAAAGGUGGUCCUGCGACCAUUGUCCAACCUGAAGUACCUGAGAGUCAAAUACUGCGGGUUCACCAAGAUAGAGUUCCAUGCUGCCAAGCUCUCCACCUUUGUGUAUAAAGGGGACUGCAUACCUAUUGCCCUCCAUCAAGCUCCCGAGAUGGAAAAUGCAGAAAUUUGUUUCUGUGCUUCUACCUUUCGGUGUGGUUCAGCUGUGGUUCUCAAUGGGCUUCCACAUGUUCAGAACCUCACUUUGAAAAUUUCAGUUGAAGUGCUAGAGUUUGAUGGCACUUGCACGAUGUGGUUUGCAUACAAGGGGUCUUCGAGACAAGACAUUCCACGAUCCGAACACAAAUACCUACACCUGAAGAAUGUGCAUGUCACAGGAUUCAAAGCCACGAAAGGCCAGCUUCAACUCCUGUUGCAUGUCGUGGAAAACGCCCCUGCGAUAGAAACUGUGACCGUAGAUACAGUUCAAAGACGGUAUGAUCUGUUGGAUCCAGACGAGAUUCUCCCGACGCUCCGCAGCUCUGCCCUUGAUAUUGUCAGGGAUCCUCUCUCUAAGAGACUUCCACCAGAUGCCAAGCUUUACCUUCUGUAA